RNAcentral lists this unclassified non-coding RNA (1695 nucleotides) under Zea mays. RNAcentral's name for it is "misc RNA Zm00001eb088040". The record is from RNAcentral. Lineage: Eukaryota; Viridiplantae; Streptophyta; Magnoliopsida; Poales; Poaceae.
CUGGUGUUGGCGAAGCUGCAAUUGAGGGCGGACAUCCCUCUGUUUGGAGACUGGCUGAUCGCCGGGGUCAGGCUGGCCCGAACGGUGGUCGGGAUCGCUUCCAAACAGUGGAUCGUCGGGCUUUGCGUGGUCGGGGCCCCAGACUUGAUCGUGGUCGCGGCUCAUGGCGUGGCCAUGGUGGACGCUUUGGAGGGCGCUCGUUUCUGGAAUCUGAUAGAAGAGUCAUCCGAGACAAUGCCUGAAUCGAGCAGGGGAGUCGUGUCAUCCAAUGCUUUUGAUGAAGAUGCUAAAAAGAGAGCAGCAGACACAGUAGAUGACGGCGCCCUGGCUGAUGGCAAGGGCAAGAAACGCCGUGAGGAUCCCUGCUGUGAGAUUUGUGAGGGAGACCAUGUGUCGCUUGACUGUCAAGUAUACAAUGGACCUAAACCCCAUGCCAUUCUUUGCGGUUUUAGGAGUGGAGAAUCUGGGUUCUUUCAAAUUCCAAGCUUUGGUUCAAAGGGGUUGAUCCCCCUGAAAGAAAGUUCAACUGCAUUUAUCACUGCCAAGGAAGGCACCAUUGCGGCAGAGUUAGUAAAGUCUGAGUUGGCUCGUCUCAUUCCGCUGAGAUGGACUUGGGCUGUCCAAAGUCAUGCUCAUGCGAAUGGUUUCGUUGUACCAUUUCCGUCCAAAAAAAUUGAGCCCGUUCAACAUUUGGAGAAGGCUUGGGUUAAUAUCCACGGGGUGCCGUAUGAAAUUCGAUCUUUUCUUCCUCUUUGGGUGGUGGGCACCAUUAUAGGUGCUACCCAUAAAGUCGAUUUGAGAUAUACAAAACGGAUGGGUGUUGUCCGGCUCUUAGUUGGUGUAACAAACGUCGACAAGAUCCCAGAAUCUGUUGACAUAGUGGUUGGGGAAGGCCUGUAUGAAAUUUUCUUUAAAAUUGAUAAGAUUUGCAAAGAUGGAGUUUGGUCAGAAUAUUAUUACCCUUUUGAUAAGAAAGAUGAUGAUUAUGAAUCCAAGGAUGAGGAUUUUGAUGGGCUCGAUGAUAUCCAACCUAAUUUUGAUGAUACCACCAAAGACACUGAGAUGAAAGAUGUGUCCGAUGCGCUAGAAAAAUACUUAGUUGCUGUUAAUAGGUCUUCAGUUUUUAGGGAGAAUGUUGCAGCACCAACCGCUAUUGCGCAUGGGGCCGUUUAUGAUAAUAAGUGGACAGAGGUUGAAGGCACAAUUACUCUGAACGUCAAGCAAAUUGCACAACAGAAAGAUAUGCUACAGAUUUACCCAGUUGCUGCUCCUAGGGCUACAAAGUCUAGAAAAAAUGCUGCUGCACCUUUUGAUGUAGUGAGCGGGACUGUUGGUAGAGAGGGGCCUGUAGAUGCCGAUGCAUUUAACCUGAACACCAUAUGCCAUGACUCUGGGAAAAAGGCAGCUGCACCUUUUGUUGUAGUGUGCACAGCUGAUGCGAAGGGGGGUUGGCACCGUGAACGUGGAGCAGCUGUUGAGGUGAUCAUGGGAGGCUCAUACAUUGGAGAAGAGAGCACUGGUGGUGGUGAUGCGGCUGCUAUCCUAGCCACGACAACAUCUGCUGGUGGUAGUACUGGUGCUGGUGGUACUGCUUCAUCGGUUGCUCCAGAUGCUGCCUCUCUCACUGAAAAGGCUAUUGCAGCACUACCCCAUGCUCUGGCUGCACAAGCUGUUGAUUCUAAAAGGAAGGCUUGA